This 358-nucleotide long non-coding RNA is filed under the name Volvox carteri. Its description in RNAcentral is "long non-coding RNA (VCAR_LNC002996)". The record is from RNAcentral. Lineage: Eukaryota; Viridiplantae; Chlorophyta; Chlorophyceae; Chlamydomonadales; Volvocaceae.
CCUGAGAGUUUGGGGGCAGACCCUGCAAUUGGUCUAGAUUGCUCGGUAGAAGGGUUUAAAUUGACACCUGGGACAAGUUGAAUUGCCGGGACAGGCCCUUGAAUUGGCCUGACAGGGAUAUGAAUUGGCCUGGCAGGGACAUUCCGACAGUCAGAAUUGGCCUGUCCGGGUGCCGAAUUAGCCUGGCGGGACAUUCCGACAGUCAGAAUUAGGCUGACAGGGUGUCGAAUUGGCCUGGCAGGGACAUUCGGACAGUCAGAAUUAGCGUGUUCAGGGUGUCGAAUUAGGGAAGCACGGGAAUUGUGCGACCGGGGCAGUCAAAAGAAUUGCUCUGCCCGACAGUUUGUCCUACCCUCUA